ACACCUCAACUCUCAUGGUUCGCCGUGAUGAGCUUGGACUCUGGGGGUUUUGCUGGCCUGUGGUCGGCUCCUCUCAAAUGAAUCAGCCUCCCAGUGUUUGGCGGCAUCACGGGUGUGAUAAAUAUCUACGCUCGCUGUUGUCUGCCAGGUAACCUUUGGUCACAAAGGUUUGCUGGAGCUCACAGAUGUCUCUCCUCAGCGAGGACAGCUUUUGAAC
This 217-nucleotide unclassified non-coding RNA is filed under the name uncultured Thelephora. RNAcentral describes it as "sequence contains ITS2". Lineage: Eukaryota; Fungi; Basidiomycota; Agaricomycetes; Thelephorales; Thelephoraceae. The record is from RNAcentral.